This 559-nucleotide ribosomal RNA is filed under the name Sebacina sp. Seb16L. RNAcentral's name for it is "eukaryotic LSU rRNA". It matches the Rfam family "Eukaryotic large subunit ribosomal RNA", at positions 90 to 631 of the family's 3401-position model. The record is from RNAcentral. Lineage: Eukaryota; Fungi; Basidiomycota; Agaricomycetes; Sebacinales; Sebacinaceae.
CGAGUGAAGAGGGAAAAGCUCAAAUUUUGAAUCUGGUGUCUUUGACUCCCGAGUUGUAAUCUAGAGAAGUGUUUUCCGUGUCGGACCGUGUACAAGUUCCCUGGAACGGGGCGUCAUAGAGGGUGAGAAUCCCGUAUAUGCCACAGACUACCGAUGCUCUGUGAUACACUCUCAACGAGUCGAGUUGUUUGGGAAUGCAGCUCAAAAUGGGUGGUAAAUUCCAUCUAAAGCUAAAUAUUGGCGAGAGACCGAUAGCGAACAAGUACCGUGAGGGAAAGAUGAAAAGCACUUUGGAAAGAGAGUGAAACAGUACGUGAAAUUGUUGAAAGGGAAGCGUUUGAAGUCAGUCACAUCUGUUGGGGUUCAGCCUGGCUUUUGCCUGGUGUAUUUCCUUUCCGAUGGGUCAGCAUCAGUUUCGACCGAGGGAAAAAGACAUUUGGAAUGUGGCAGUCUUCGGGCUGUGUUAUAGCCUUGUGUUGUAUGUCUCGGUUGGGACUGAGGAUUGCAGCGCGCCUAAUGGCCGGGGUCGCUCCUUCGACACGCGCUUAGGAUGCUGGCA